Molecule: ribosomal RNA, 138 nt
Filed under: uncultured bacterium
Lineage: Bacteria
Description: partial 16S ribosomal RNA
Rfam family: Bacterial small subunit ribosomal RNA
Source: RNAcentral
UGGGGAAUAUUGGACAAUGGGGGCAACCCUGAUCCAGCGACGCCGCGUGGGUGAAGAAGGCCUGCGGGUUGUAAAGCCCUUUCGUUGGGGAAGAACAGUCUCGACCUAAUACGUCGGGACCUUGACGUUACCCAAGAA